Molecule: ribosomal RNA, 698 nt
Filed under: uncultured beta proteobacterium
Lineage: Bacteria; Pseudomonadati; Pseudomonadota; Betaproteobacteria
Description: bacterial SSU rRNA
Rfam family: Bacterial small subunit ribosomal RNA
Source: RNAcentral
AUCCUGGCGGCGAGUGGCGAACGGGUGAGUAAUAUAUCGGAACGUGCCCAGUAGUGGGGGAUAGCCCGGCGAAAGCCGGAUUAAUACCGCAUACGACCUGAGGGUGAAAGCGGGGGAUCGCAAGACCUCGCGCUACUGGAGCGGCCGAUAUCAGAUUAGCUAGUUGGUGGGGUAAAGGCCUACCAAGGCAACGAUCUGUAGUUGGUCUGAGAGGACGACCAGCCACACUGGGACUGAGACACGGCCCAGACUCCUACGGGAGGCAGCAGUGGGGAAUUUUGGACAAUGGGCGCAAGCCUGAUCCAGCAAUGCCGCGUGCAGGAAGAAGGCCUUCGGGUUGUAAACUGCUUUUGUCAGGGAAGAAAUCUUCUGGGCUAAUACCCCGGGAGGAUGACGGUACCUGAAGAAUAAGCACCGGCUAACUACGUGCCAGCAGCCGCGGUAAUACGUAGGGUGCGAGCGUUAAUCGGAAUUACUGGGCGUAAAGCGUGCGCAGGCGGCUUUGCAAGACAGAGGUGAAAUCCCCGGGCUCAACCUGGGAACUGCCUUUGUGACUGCAAGGCUAGAGUACGGCAGAGGGGGAUGGAAUUCCGCGUGUAGCAGUGAAAUGCGUAGAUAUGCGGAGGAACACCGAUGGCGAAGGCAAUCCCCUGGGCCUGUACUGACGCUCAUGCACGAAAGCGUGGGGAGCAAACAGG